Molecule: ribosomal RNA, 463 nt
Filed under: uncultured bacterium
Lineage: Bacteria
Description: partial 16S ribosomal RNA
Rfam family: Bacterial small subunit ribosomal RNA
Source: RNAcentral
GAUGAACGCUGACAGAAUGCUUAACACAUGCAAGUCGAUGGGGAAGUGGUGCUUGCACCAUGGCAACCAUGGCGGACGGGUGAGUAACGCGUAAGGGACUUACCUGCAGGACUGGGAUAACAGGGGGAAACUCCUGACAAGACCGGAUAAUGUCAUGGAGCUGCAUGGCUUUAUGAUGAAAGGAGACGCCUGCGGAGAGCCUUGCGUCCUAUUAGCUAGUUGGUGAGGUAAUGGCUCACCAAGGCGAAGAUAGGUAGCCGGCCUGAGAGGGUAGACGGCCACAAGGGGACGGAGAUACGGCCCUUACUCCUACGGGAGGCAGCAGUGGGGAAUAUUGGACAAUGGGGGCAACCCUGAUCCAGCAAUUCUGUGUGCACGAAGAAGGUUUUCGGAUUGUAAAGUGCUUUCAGCAGGGAAGAAGUAAGUGACGGUACCUGCAGAAGAAGCGACGGCUAAAUACGUG